GACGAACGCUGGCGGCGUGCUUAACACAUGCAAGUCGAACGGAAAGGCCCCUUUGGGGGUACUCGAGUGGCGAACGGGUGAGUAACACGUGAGUAACCUGCCCUUGACUUCGGGAUAACUUCAGGAAACUGGGGCUAAUACCGGAUAGGAAUCCUUGCUGCAUGGUGGGGGUUGGAAAGCUUCGGCGGUUUUGGAUGGACUCGCGGCUUAUCAGCUUGUUGGUGGGGUAGUGGCUUACCAAGGCUUUGACGGGUAGCCGGCCUGAGGGGGCGACCGGCCACAUUGGGACUGAGAUACGGCCCAGACUCCUACGGGAGGCAGCAGUGGGGAAUAUUGCACAAUGGGCGGAAGCCUGAUGCAGCAACGCCGCGUGCGGGAUGACGGCCUUCGGGUUGUAAACCGCUUUCAGCAGGGGCGAAGCUUGUGGUGACGUUACCUGCAGAAGAAGCACCGGCUAACUACGUG
Molecule: ribosomal RNA, 465 nt
Filed under: uncultured bacterium
Lineage: Bacteria
Description: partial 16S ribosomal RNA
Rfam family: Bacterial small subunit ribosomal RNA
Source: RNAcentral